Harmonia axyridis is the source of this 925-nucleotide long non-coding RNA. RefSeq lists it as uncharacterized. The transcript is spliced from 2 exons. The record is from RefSeq and is a predicted model, not a curated record. Lineage: Eukaryota; Metazoa; Arthropoda; Insecta; Coleoptera; Coccinellidae.
AGGUACGGUGUAGAAGUUCUUGUUUUUCUCUAUUUUUGAGCGGUGUUCCACUGGAUCAUAUUGACCUAAUGCCUGUAAUUUUCGAAUUUUGAGCUGGGAAUGGUUGGGUUUGACUCAUUGAUGAAGAAUUUGUGCUGAAAAUCAAUUCUGUCCGUCCGGCGGUCGUGUGUAGGUACACUAGAGAGACCUAACAUUUUCAGGUUGGCUGUGGGUCCUGUCAAGGCAGAGAUAGUGACAGGUAUCACCAUCUUCACAAGGUGAAAAAAACAAAACCAAUAGGAAAAUUCAGCUAUAAAUUUACAAACUGCUACAACAGAAAAGAUGUUCUUACAUAUUGUGCCAACCGACAACAUUAAAGUCAUGUGAUAUUACUUUAAAUUGAAGUUUAUGAGAAAGCUCUGGACUGUGAACGUAUUUUUUCAAUUCAAUUUUGAACUUCCACCAAAGUAAUAUGCAUUAGGAAAAUAAAAACAGAGAAAUAUAGUAUUUCAACUUUAUUGAGUAUGAUCUUUCCUGUACAAUUUCUGUGCAUACAGAACAAUAAUGAUGUAAGCAAGCAAAUAAAAUUGAUAAUAGUAACUAAUCAUAAUAAAUUCAAUUAUAUUCAAAUAUUAUACAAAGAUGAUUAUGGAUUAUACAUUUAUCCAUAUUGGUAUUCUUUAAACUCUGUACAACCACCAUCUACCUUUUACAUCAACUAAUAUUUGUUAUAUGCCAAUGUAGAUAAUCCAUUGAUAUUAUCAACGAUCAAGAAAGUUACAAGAACCGAAUACAGAAGGUUACCGAUUAAAUAGUUUUGAGGAUUGCAAAAUAGACGAAAUUUCACAAGAAGACAAAGUUCGGAGUACUGAAAACUGCCAGUACUUCACAGUAUCGAAAACCAUUCAACUUCGACAAAGACAACCGAUUCCCUCAAAAUCAUUGA